GUUUUUUAUUAUUGCACAACCCCCUUCCAAAAUAUAUAUAUAUAUAUAUAAAUUAUGUACGUAGUCGGGAUUUCUUUGUUUGCCACUAAAAGCUGUGUAGCAUGAACUUGGUUGAAGAUGAGCCUUGCUUACAUCAAAGGUUGUAGAACUGCAGAUAAGUUUUGCCUAUGUUUUCUAUUUGUUUCCGAAUAUCAUUCAUGUUGAUGAAUUUAGAAAUCAAUCUUUAUUUGCAGGAGAAAGAGAAAAGGAGAAUCUGUUAAAAUACUAGCGCCAAGGAACUUGACUUGGGUAUCGACGAGGAGAAAGAGAAAAGGUGAACCUGUCAAAAUACUAGCACCAAGGUGUGGGAAGGCGUCAGAGAACUCCUCACUGUUUAAUCUUGACAAUAGUACUUUUUUAAACGGAGCACCAGAAGAAGGGGUGGACUAAUAAGGAUACAAAGUGAAUGACAAUAUUCACCUUUGAUUACUACCACUCAGCUUCUAACGAACUUGACUUGGACAACGACAAGGUAAGAUUUAUGUAAUAGAUUUCUUUCCUAGAAACAAUGUUAUCUUCUUUAUACAUGUUCUCCAAAUAUGUAGUUUUUUAUUAUUCCACAACCCCCUUCCAAAAAAAUACAUAUAUAUAUAUAUAUUAUGCAUAAUCGGGAUUUCUUUGUUUGCAACUAAAACGUGUGCAGCAUGAACUUGGUUGAA
This is a long non-coding RNA of Macadamia integrifolia, 698 nucleotides long. RefSeq lists it as uncharacterized. NCBI's taxonomy places the organism in Eukaryota, Viridiplantae, Streptophyta, Magnoliopsida, Proteales, Proteaceae. The record is from RefSeq and is a predicted model, not a curated record. The transcript has 5 exons.